CCGCAUAAGUUGCAUCCUGCUGUAAAAUAUGGACAAAUAAUAAUGUUGAUGGAAUUUAGGUGAGUAUCAUGUGAGUUGUAGAUGCUCAUAAAGGACCACCACAUAACU
Non-coding RNA from Triticum aestivum (bread wheat), 108 nucleotides. Lineage: Eukaryota; Viridiplantae; Streptophyta; Magnoliopsida; Poales; Poaceae. The record is from Rfam.